AUCCCUGUAGCGCAAUAGAUAGCGCUUGGACUUAUAAUCCAUAGGUCGUGGGUUUGAAUUCCACCUGGGAUA
RNAcentral lists this transfer RNA (72 nucleotides) under Trichonephila inaurata madagascariensis. It matches the Rfam family "tRNA". Rfam says of the family: Transfer RNA (tRNA) molecules are approximately 80 nucleotides in length. Their secondary structure includes four short double-helical elements and three loops (D, anti-codon, and T loops). Lineage: Eukaryota; Metazoa; Arthropoda; Arachnida; Araneae; Nephilidae. The record is from Rfam by way of RNAcentral.